AACGCGAAGAACCUUACCUGGUCUUGACAUCCCAGGAACCCUUCAGAGAUGAGGGGGUGCCUUCGGGAACCUGGAGACAGGUGCUGCAUGGCUGUCGUCAGCUCGUGUCGUGAGAUGUUGGGUUAAGUCCCGCAACGAGCGCAACCCUUAUUGCCAGUUGCCACCGGGUUAUGCCGAGCACUCUGGCGAAACCGCGCGGGAUAACCGCGAGGAAGGUGGGGAUGACGUCAAGUCCUCAUGGCCUUUAUGUCCAGGGCUACACACGUGCUACAAUGGUCGGUACAAACCGUCGCAAACCCGCGAGGGGGAGCUAAUCGGAAAAAGCCGGCCUCAGUUCGGAUUGGAGUCUGCAACCCGACUCCAUGAAGCUGGAAUCGCUAGUAAUCGCGGAUCAGAACGCCGCGGUGAAUACGUUCCCGGGCCUUGUACACACCGGCUAC
This 440-nucleotide ribosomal RNA is filed under the name uncultured bacterium. RNAcentral describes it as "bacterial SSU rRNA". It matches the Rfam family "Bacterial small subunit ribosomal RNA", at positions 958 to 1397 of the family's 1533-position model. The record is from RNAcentral.